GCAAGUCGAACGAGAUGCUUUUCUUCGGAAGAGUUAUCUAGUGGCGGACGGGUGCGUAACACGUGGGAAUCUACCUUAUAGUGGGGGAUAACUUCUGGAAACGGGAGCUAAUACCGCAUACGCCCUUCGGGGGAAAGAUUUAUCGCUAUAAGAUGAGCCCGCGGUGGAUUAGAUAGUUGGUGAGGUAAAGGCUCACCAAGUCUACGAUCUAUAGCUGGUCUGAGAGGAUGACC
This 233-nucleotide ribosomal RNA is filed under the name uncultured bacterium. Its description in RNAcentral is "partial 16S ribosomal RNA". It matches the Rfam family "Bacterial small subunit ribosomal RNA", at positions 57 to 305 of the family's 1533-position model. The record is from RNAcentral.